GUCCACACCGUAAACGUUGGGCGCUAGGUGUGGGACUCAUUCCACGAGUUCCGUGCCGCAGCUAACGCAUUAAGCGCCCCGCCUGGGGAGUACGGCCGCAAGGCUAAAACUCAAAGGAAUUGACGGGGGCCCCGCACAAGCGGCGGAGCAUGCGGAUUAAUUCGAUGCAACGCGAAGAACCUUACCUGGGUUUGACAUAUACGAGAAGCCUCUAGAGAUAGAGGUCUCUUUGGACACUCGUAUACAGGUGGUGCAUGGCUGUCGU
This 265-nucleotide ribosomal RNA is filed under the name uncultured bacterium. RNAcentral describes it as "partial 16S ribosomal RNA". It matches the Rfam family "Bacterial small subunit ribosomal RNA", at positions 793 to 1055 of the family's 1533-position model. The record is from RNAcentral.